RNAcentral lists this transfer RNA (76 nucleotides) under Alphaproteobacteria bacterium. RNAcentral's name for it is "tRNA-His". It matches the Rfam family "tRNA". Rfam says of the family: Transfer RNA (tRNA) molecules are approximately 80 nucleotides in length. Their secondary structure includes four short double-helical elements and three loops (D, anti-codon, and T loops). Lineage: Bacteria; Pseudomonadati; Pseudomonadota; Alphaproteobacteria. The record is from RNAcentral.
GCGGGCGUAGCUCAGCUGGUAGAGCAACAGGUUGUGGUUCUGUAGGUCGUCGGUUCAAGACCGAUCGCUCGCCCCA